Molecule: ribosomal RNA, 440 nt
Filed under: uncultured bacterium
Lineage: Bacteria
Description: partial 16S ribosomal RNA
Rfam family: Bacterial small subunit ribosomal RNA
Source: RNAcentral
GCUACGGGUGGCAGCAGUGGGGAAUAUUGCACAAUGGGGGAAACCCUGAUGCAGCGACGCCGCGUGAGUGAAGAAGGAUUUCGGGAUGUAAAGCUCUAUCAGCAGGGAAGAAAAGGACGGUACCUGACUAAGAAGCCCCGGCUAACUACGUGCCAACAGCCGCGGUAAUACGUAGGGGGCAAGCGUGAUCCGGAUUUACUGGGGGUAAAGGGAGCGUAGACGGCAGCGCAAGUCUGAAGUGAAAGCCCGCGGCCCAACUGCGGGACUGCUUUGGAAACUGCCCGGCUAGAGUGCUGGAGAGGUAAUCGGAAUUCCUAGUGUAGCGGUGAAAUGCGUAGAUAUUAGGAGGAACACCAGUGGCGAAGGCGGCUUACUGGACAGUACCUGACGUUGAGGCUCGACAGCGUGGGGAGCAAACAGGAUUAGAUACCCCAGUAGUC